Long non-coding RNA from Protopterus annectens (West African lungfish), 796 nucleotides. RefSeq lists it as uncharacterized. The transcript is spliced from 2 exons. The record is from RefSeq and is a predicted model, not a curated record. NCBI's taxonomy places the organism in Eukaryota, Metazoa, Chordata, Ceratodontiformes, Protopteridae.
CAGCUGAAUGAGAAAGGAAAACACUGAGCCUUGCUUGGGUAUCGAACCUUAGGACUCCAAUGCAUUCUGUAUGGUUGUCACUGACACUGAACCAACAAGGAGUCUACAGAGAGUAUCAGGUUUCCUAUCAAAGCAGUUUCUCUUUUCAACUAGGAAAUCAUCAUGAUGGAGAUUUUUAAACAAACAAGCAUUGAGUGAAGAACAAGCAAUGAACUUAGUAUGCUAUUAACAACAGAGCAGGAAAGCAAAUCAAUGACUCUUGUCUUGGGAUUGAAACCAGGGACCCCUGCAUUCCCUUAGGCUAUCGCUGCCAGUAGACCAACAAAGGCUCUCUGGGCAGUUCAAUACCUGGUUCCCCCAAGAAAAAAAGGGAAGACAUCAGUGGAACAAGAGUUGGAAGAACAUCAGUGGUAACAUGACUAGGACCUUCCUGAAGAACUGCAUAGUGCUGGGGCAGUGACAUUUUACUAUCUGCGACAUGACACUGUAUAUCUUGAAACAUUUCCAGUUGCUAUCCAGUGCUUACUUCAGUCACUUUUACAUUCUCCUUCAUCUAAUAUUUACUAUGCAGUAAAGGAAAUAUAAGUUGCAAAAGCUAUGCAAAAGUAUAUUUAUAUUUUACUUAAUCAACUCUUUCUUUCAAAUGUUCUUGGGUCACCAUGGAACUACAAGCAAGGUGAUCACAACCUUACAUGGAUAAUGAGAUGUAAUUAAGUGAGCUAUGUACAGACAGUCUUUGGUGUAUUGUUGCAACAUAGAUUAACUCUGCUUAAAAUUAAAAUGUGAAAUAAAUACA